This 301-nucleotide ribosomal RNA is filed under the name uncultured bacterium. RNAcentral's name for it is "partial 16S ribosomal RNA". It matches the Rfam family "Bacterial small subunit ribosomal RNA", at positions 509 to 807 of the family's 1533-position model. The record is from RNAcentral.
CAGUCGCCGCGGUAAAACGGAGGGAGCUAGCGUUACUCGGAAUUACUGGGCGUAAAGCGCACGUAGGCGGCUUUGUAAGUUAGAGGUGAAAGCCUGGAGCUCAACUCCAGAAUUGCCUUUAAGACUGCAUCGCUUGAAUCCAGGAGAGGUGAGUGGAAUUCCGAGUGUAGAGGUGAAAUUCGUAGAUAUUCGGAAGAACACCAGUGGCGAAGGCGGCCAUCUGGGACAACACUGACGCUGAGGCACGAAAGCGUGGGAAGCAAACAGGAUUAGAUACCCGUGUAGUCCCUGUCUCUUAUAC